This 466-nucleotide long non-coding RNA is filed under the name Rattus norvegicus (Norway rat). RNAcentral describes it as "long non-coding RNA NONRATT008706". Lineage: Eukaryota; Metazoa; Chordata; Mammalia; Rodentia; Muridae. The record is from RNAcentral.
GCAGUAGCCCCUGAAAACCAUCCCAGUGUCAUCCGUACAGAAGAAAUCAAGGAAUCUCACCAUCCAGGGUCUUCCCUGUUCGCCUGCUGUAUCAUCAGUUGAAACUCAGAACUAACACCUCCAGGAUAAGUAUUGGUUGCUAGGAACUGAAUGCACCUGGGACCGGGCUGACCACCGGGGCUACAGCCUCCUACCUCUAGGAACCUGCCUAGAGGGACCCACCAGUCAAGCACCUUCCAGAGCAGAACACGACGGACAGCAAGACAGGAUGAGACAGAAGAGACCCCGGCUUCCCCUACCCUGGCAGCGCCGGGACAAGCUCACCUUUGUAGUAGAAGAGGCAGCGGUCCACCAGGACAAACCAACGCUUAUUCCACUGCUUCACCCCGGAGCUGGCCUGCAGGACACACAGACAGACAGAUGGGAAAGUCAUGGGGGGGGGGUUGUGUGGGAGGGGAGGCGGCCG